UACAGAGGUGGCAAGCGUUGUUCGGAAUUACUGGGCGUAAAGGGCGCGUAGGCGGCUUUUUAAGUCAGACGUGAAAUCCCCCGGCUUAACCUGGGAACUGCGUCUGAUACUGGGAAGCUUGAGUUCGGGAGAGGGAUGUAGAAUUCCAGGUGUAGCGGUGAAAUGCGUAGAUAUCUGGAGGAACACCGAUUGCGAAGGCAGCUCGCUGGAACGUUACUGACGCUGAGACGCGAAAGCGUGGGGAGCAAACAGG
RNAcentral lists this ribosomal RNA (253 nucleotides) under uncultured bacterium. RNAcentral describes it as "partial 16S ribosomal RNA". It matches the Rfam family "Bacterial small subunit ribosomal RNA", at positions 524 to 776 of the family's 1533-position model. The record is from RNAcentral.